RNAcentral lists this ribosomal RNA (279 nucleotides) under uncultured bacterium. Its description in RNAcentral is "partial 16S ribosomal RNA". It matches the Rfam family "Archaeal small subunit ribosomal RNA", at positions 456 to 735 of the family's 1478-position model. The record is from RNAcentral.
UGCCAGCAGCCGCGGUAAAACCAGCACCUCAAGUGGUCAGGAUGAUUAUUGGGCCUAAAGCAUCCGUAGCCUGCUUUGUUAGUUUUCGGUUAAAUCCAUACGCUCAACGUAUGGGCUGCCGGGAAUACUGCAAAGCUAGGGAGUGGGAGAGGUAGACGGUACUCGGUAGGAAGGGGUAAAAUCCUUUGAUCUAUUGAUGACCACCUGUGGCGAAGGCGGUCUACCAGAACACGUCCGACGGUGAGGGAUGAAAGCUGGGGGAGCAAACCGGAUUAGAUA